GCGGGCGUCGUAUAAUGGCUCAUUAUAUCAGCCUUCCAAGCUGAGGACGUGGGUUCGAUUCCCAUCGCCCGCUCAA
This 76-nucleotide transfer RNA is filed under the name Candidatus Moranbacteria bacterium RIFCSPHIGHO2_01_FULL_55_24. RNAcentral describes it as "tRNA-Gly". It matches the Rfam family "tRNA". From Rfam's summary of the family: Transfer RNA (tRNA) molecules are approximately 80 nucleotides in length. Lineage: Bacteria; Candidatus Moraniibacteriota. The record is from RNAcentral.